Molecule: non-coding RNA, 179 nt
Filed under: Pseudomonadota bacterium
Lineage: Bacteria; Pseudomonadati; Pseudomonadota
Also listed under: 1 other name
Description: Proteobacteria bacterium 6S RNA
Rfam family: 6S / SsrS RNA
About the family: E. coli 6S RNA was the first non coding RNA to be sequenced, but its function was unknown until recently.
Source: RNAcentral
AUGUGCCUGCUGGUCUUAAGUAUUGCAGGUGAACCGAUGCUUAUAUACUAGGGAGCCUGAGUUCAUUCGUGGUGAGCAUGCCGCGCCUGCCGAGUGCACGCGGAAGCCUAAAGCGAAGACAGGGCACCCACCUAACGAGGUGGGGUUCCCUUUGCGACUGUCGGACUGACGGGCACAUU